RNAcentral lists this ribosomal RNA (391 nucleotides) under uncultured Glomus. RNAcentral's name for it is "SSU rRNA". It matches the Rfam family "Eukaryotic small subunit ribosomal RNA", at positions 569 to 966 of the family's 1831-position model. Lineage: Eukaryota; Fungi; Glomeromycota; Glomeromycetes; Glomerales; Glomeraceae. The record is from RNAcentral.
AGCAGCCGCGGUAAUUCCAGCUCCAAUAGCGUAUAUUAAAGUUGCUGCAGUUAAAAAGCUCGUAGUUGAAUUUCGGGAUCAAUAUGAUGGUCGUGCCUUGGUACGUACUAGCUCAUUGGUUUCUCCCUUCUGACGAACCAUGAUGUCAUUAAUUUGAUGUCAUGGGGAAUCAGGACUGUUACUUUGAAAAAAUUAGAGUGUUUAAAGCAGGCUCGCGCUUGAAUACAUUAGCAUGGAAUAAUGAAAUAGGACAUUUGAUUCUAUUUUGUUGGUUUCUAGGAUCGAUGUAAUGAUUAAUAGGGAUAGUUGGGGGCAUUAGUAUUCAAUUGUCAGAGGUGAAAUUCUUGGAUUUAUUGAAGACUAACUACUGCGAAAGCAUUUGCCAAGGAUG